GGUGGCGGUGGCAGACAGAUGAGGUGGUGCAGGCGCCGUUUUCUUCUUCUUUUGACCUGUUCCACUUUUGUAUCGCUUCAUAUUGAUUCUUCUUCUUCUCUUGUGAUGUUCCUCGUUGUGUCAUUCGGGGGCCAAAGUGUGCCAUAUAUUGUUGGUAUUCUUAUUCGCCUUAGCUUAUGACAUCAUCUAUUUUUAAAGGUCAAAAAGGGGAUCAUAGGGUUCUAAUGAGUAUUUCCUUAGAUUCAUGGUACAGAAGCAGGGUCAAACUACCACCAGAGACAUUAAGCUACCUCUGGAAAUGCCCAAAACUCAUAGGAAAGCCUUGUCAAAUAUGUGAACUUGGGCGACGAAAUGUUUUAAAAUACGAGUUAAUUGGGUUCUAAUGAGUGUUUCUUUAGAUUCAUGCUACAGAAGCAAGGUCAAACUACCACCAGAGACAUUAAGCUACCUCAGGAAAUGCCCACAACUCAUAGGAAAGCCUUGUCAAAUAUGUGAACUUGGGCGACGAAAUGUUUUAAAAUAUGAGUUAAUUGGGUUCUAUAGAUUCAUGGUACAGAAGUAGGGUCAGACUACCACCAGAGACAUUAAGCUACUUCUGGAAAUGCCCAAAACUCAUAGGAAAGCCUUGUCAAAUAUAUGAACUUGGACGACGGAAUGUUUUAAAAUACGAUCAGCCUCUCGAGCGGGAAAGGAAAAACUCGAGAAUCGCACCCAACUCCGGUGAUUGACUUACAGUGUUGAUACAGUGGAACCUCACUAUACAGCCUGGGGGGAUAACAGAUAAAUUAACUUGUCUGUAAUGAAGUAAGUCCAUCACUCGAGGGCCAUAAUACACCUCAGCCCCCUUCCAGUGGUGCCCCCUCGAUCCAGCCGUGGGGGAAAUGGAUAACUCUAGAAUUGCACCCAACUCUACUAUUACUAUACAGCCUGGGGGAAUAACAGAUAAAUUAACUUGUCUGUAAUGAAAUAAGUCCAUCACUCGAGGGCCAUAAUACACCUCAGCCCCCUUCCUGUGGUGACCCCUCAAUCCACCCAUGGGGGAAAGGGAUAACUUCAGAAUUGCACCCAACCUGGUUGAAGAUGCGACCAUUGUAAGCCAACAUGUCACAAGAGAUCAAAUUCAUCGCAGGUGUUUUGAGACCAUGUUGCUGCACCAUGAGACUCUUUAAAGACUGGCAGCGGUAAGCUUCACUAUAAUGGGGCAGUGCUGUAAAUUUCACUUUGUGCAGUAUGGCAAGAUGACUGCUGCUGUGUGGCGGAUGGUAUUUCUACUUCAAAAAGCAUAUCAUAAAUUGAUCUCUUUAGAAUAAUUUUUUCCUGGUCCCAUGAGACGUGAGGCAGGCACUGGAACCGAGCCUAAAGUUGCCUCAUGGCUCAAGGCUUUCACAGCGUGUGUCCGUGCCAUGGGCCAUUACAGCUGUACCCACACAAAGAGGACAGAGAAGGCUCAUAAAACAUAAAUAAGUUUGGUCAGGGAGUUGUCUUGAUACUUCCCCCUUCAAAGUGUUCAAAUCUUUGGAAGGAGGAAUUACAGGAGUCCUUGAUGAUGGUGUCUUAGCAAAAGCUUCCUCUCCGAACAAGCACUGAGAGACAUAUCAUCAUCACAAUGGAGGUCACCCAACAGUUUGCAUGUCACAAAUGCCAACAAAUGUUUGGAGAAAAGAGUGAAUUGAUCCACCACACACUGACCCACGUGGGUGUCAAGGUAUUCCGCUGUGAAGACUGUGGCAGACUGUUCAGCUGUGCAAGUCAGCUCGAAACACACAUCGUCACACACACGGGGGAGCGGAGGUUUGGGUGUAACACCUGCGGGAAGCGUUACACCACAAAACCAAACCUCAGGCGCCACAUGGAUGUACACAACAAGAUUAAGACAUACAAGUGUAAUGAGUGUGGGAAGGAUUUUACUUAUAAAAGCACCCUCCUCCACCAUGCCAAGCUUCACACAGGCCUGAGGCAGCACAAGUGUGAGGAGUGUGGGAAGGAGUUCAUCCAGAAAUAUCACCUUGACGAGCACCGUAACCUUCACACCAGGCUAAAUAAAUACGAGUGCGAGAAGUGUGGAAAGGUAUUCAGGUACAAGACUGGUCUGAUCAAACACUUGGAGGCGCACAGCAAGAUUAAGAAGUACAAGUGUGAUGAUUGUGGGAAGGAUUUCAUGUACAAAAGCAGUCUCCUCAAACGUGCCAAGCUUCACAUGGGCCUCAAUAAGUCAGUGAAAGUGUGAGCAGUGUGGGAAGGAGUUCAUCCAGAAAUAUCACCUUGAUGAGCCCCGUGACCUUCACUGGAGGCCAGCCUUUGAUAAAUACAACUGUGAGAAGUGCUGGAAAGUAUUCAGCCACAAAACCAGUGUGGGAAGUGUUUAAAAGAAUAAGAUUUAUUAUGCAUAACAUAUAUUCAUCCAUUUGAGUGAUAGGAUGCUCUUUAAAUGUUAGGAAUAUGGUAAAAACUUUUCUAACAAAGAGAAACAACCUAAAGAAUCACAAAAAUCGAGGAGGGUGAUGUUUGAAACUCUGAGUACUACGAAGUGUCUGCCAAUAACUUGUUGACUAGUGUGUGUGUGUGCACACCAAACACCAACUCCAGCAUAUGUACACACAGCAGUGCAGGUGAACCUUAAGGUCAAAGGUUUGGAUAAUGGCAUGUUUAGAAGUGUGACAGGCCUGGGAUCUGUGGUGCACAGUAUACCCUUGGCUGUGUGUGAAGUGUGUGGGAAGCUUCCUCCAUGAGGAGUGCUGUGUAGACUCCUGUCAAAGCUGAUCUCUUGUACACAUAGGCUGGCCAUUUUAGAAUUUCCAAAUAAGGACAAUGAAAAAGAAUUACCAAAAUAAAACAUCAAACGUGUUUAAUUAUAAUUUGUGAUAUAUAAAGGUAUUAAGUUUGAUAUGCUAGUUUUACAUUCUAUUUUGUGAGGUAUGCAUACAUACCUAUGUACAACUCACCAAGGAUAACAUGAAAAUAUGUACAAGCACUUAUUAUCCAAUAUGGUGCUGACUUGUUACUCCUACACUGGUUCUGUUGAUAAGGAUGGAAGUAAGAAUAUGGAAUGUAUGCAGCAAAAAGAUAUAUUAUUAAAAUUAGGAAAAUUAAAUAACCAUGGAUAAUUUUCUUAUCUAAACUCCAGGUCUAAAAUCAAUUAACAGCCCUUUUCCUUUUCUACAUGAUAUGCUACUUUAUAAAAAUUAAAUAUAAACACACAGCAUUUACAUGUUAAUGGGCUCUUAAUUGUUCCUGUUUCUAGUGUCAUUAAAAAAACCUACAGCAGGGCUACUCAACUGUUAUAAGCAAAGGUGCAGUUAGACAAGUUCAAAUGUAUGCACAGGUCCAGACAAAUAGUGUAGCUGGAUCCCAGGCCCCAGGAGUAGAAAAUAUAAUUAAAUAACAAAGUUCCUGGCAAUGGAUUUUUGCAAGUGUAUUUCCUUGACUGACUGUUGGCCCUACAGUUAUUCCAGGGUCCAGCUGCAACUCUCAGAAGGUCCAGAUUUGGACUGCAGGCUGCCAGUUGAGUAGUCCUGCCCAACAGGCACUGAUAAUUGAGCCUAUAAAAUACACCCAUCAAUGCAAAACUAUGCAAGACCAAUGACUAACCCAAGUGUCUGCCUUGAUGAAUAUUCUAUUGUGCUGAAAAUAAUGGACUGCAUGGCUACAGGCACCAAACACUGUGUUAAAGUAGGGCACUCAAGGAGGCCAGACUUCUACCAAGAAGACCAGAACUCUGAUCACAUAGCUCGUGCAGUUUCUACACAUCCUAAUCAACAAUGUCUUCCCUUGCAUGUGUAUCCCCAGUUAUGCAUGACAAAAUUUUACCCAAAGAUUAUCAGCAUCAUUCAUUGUCAGUUAUUGUUGGAUUUUAUCGGAAUGGGGCCGAAUCCGCUCCCCAGAAAGUGGAAAAACACUUCCAGUACCAACUCUUUGUUCAGUUUUGACCAAAAGUUAUCCAAAAUUGAAUUAUUUCUCCCCUGGUUGAUGGUACACCUUUUAACUUUUAUCAAGUUUAACAAAUGAAGGACUGCCCCACUCAAGCAAAAAAGUCGUUCAAGCACCCACCCACAGCUCACAUUUUUAUCUUUCUUACAAUUUUAUGGGCUAUUCCUUGGCUGAUAAUACACCUAUCCUGAGUGAAUAAUUAAGUUUUGAGUAAUACUGCUUUUUGACCAACAAACAGAUGAAGGAUAUGGUUUAGCAAUCUGAGAACUCCAUCAAACUGAGCUCUGCCUGUGUGUGUGGAUCCGAGCGGCAGAGUGGCAUGAGCUGUCGCUACAGGAUGUCCACAUGGGUGUGUACAUACUAGUCAUGUAUCGGAUAUCUGCAUCCACAUCCGGAUCCACGGAACAUCCGCAUAAUUUUUCACAUCUGCAUCCGCAAUUUAAAAAAAUGAAACAUCCGCAUCUGCAUUUGUGAUGAAUUAAAUAUCCGCAUCCGCAUCUGCACCACACACAAACAGGAUGUGGCGGAUAUACUUUAAACAUUACAGAGUUACAGACUCAGUGCAGACAACCGAGUACAGUUUGCAAAGUUGAAGAAAAUGAAUUAAUGCAUGUUUACUUAAUUAUAUACUAAAAUUACACCUUGUAUUCUUUUUGUGAAAUUUACCCAACUUAAUGUGUCAAAAGUUUUGCGGAAGGGUAGGAGGUGGGAGAUCAUUUUACAUAAUGACUAUGUAGUAUGUGUGUUUCAUAUAAAUUUGUAAAGGUAUGUAUGUAUGUACUGUGUAAUAGUACUGUAUGUACUAUAUGUAAUAUUGCGUAAGUAUGAAUGGAAGCAGCCUGCCUGGCAAGGAGAGAGAGAGAGAGAGAGAGAGAGAGAGAGAGA
Eriocheir sinensis (Chinese mitten crab) is the source of this 4812-nucleotide long non-coding RNA. RefSeq lists it as uncharacterized. The transcript has 2 exons. NCBI's taxonomy places the organism in Eukaryota, Metazoa, Arthropoda, Malacostraca, Decapoda, Varunidae. The record is from RefSeq and is a predicted model, not a curated record.